This 253-nucleotide ribosomal RNA is filed under the name uncultured bacterium. Its description in RNAcentral is "partial 16S ribosomal RNA". It matches the Rfam family "Bacterial small subunit ribosomal RNA", at positions 524 to 776 of the family's 1533-position model. The record is from RNAcentral.
UACGGAGGGUGCGAGCGUUGUUCGGAAUCAUUGGGCGUAAAGGGCGUGCAGGCGGUUUGUUAAGUCUGAUGUGAAAGCCCCGGGCCUAACCCGGGAAGUGCAUUGGAAACUGGCAGACUCGAGUGCGGGAGAGGGCAGUGGAAUUCCUGGUGUAGGAGUGAAAUCCGCAGAGAUCAGGAAGAACACCUGUGGCGAAGGCGGCUGCCUGGACCGAUACUGACGCUGAGACGCGAAAGCGUGGGGAGCAAACAGG